RNAcentral lists this ribosomal RNA (1215 nucleotides) under metagenome. Its description in RNAcentral is "SSU rRNA". It matches the Rfam family "Eukaryotic small subunit ribosomal RNA", at positions 5 to 1184 of the family's 1831-position model. The record is from RNAcentral.
UGGUUGAUCCUGCCAGUAGUGAUAUGCUUGUUUCAAAGAUUAAGCCAUGCAUGUCUAAGUAUAAGCGAACUUAUACAGUGAAACUGCGGAUGGCUCAUUAAAACAGUUUGAAUUUAUUUGAUGAAUGUAUGAGAAUACUACUUGGAUAACCGUAGUAAUUCUAGAGCUAAUACAUACAACGACGCCCGACCGUUUCACUACGGAAGGGCUGUAUUUAUUGGAUACCAAAACCAUCCUUCCCUCGGGAAGUUUUGUUUGAUGAUUCACAAUAACUGAUCGGAUCGCCACUGUGGUGGCGACAGGUCAUUCAACAUUCUGCCCUAUCAGCUCUCGAUGGUUGUGUAGUGGACAACCAUGGCCAUAACGGGUAACGGAGAAUCAGGGUUCGAUUCCGGAGAGGGAGCUUGAGAAUUGGCUACUACAUCUAAGGAAGGCAGCAGGCGCGCAAAUUACCCAAUCCCGAUUCGGGGAGGUAGUGACAAAAAAUAACAAUACCGGGCCUUUUUGGGCUUGGUAAUUGGAAUGAGGGAGAGUUAAACGGACCAUCGAGUAUCCAUUGGAGGGCAAGUCUGGUGCCAGCAGCUGCGGUAAUACCAGCUCCAAUAGCGUAUAUUAAAGUUGUUGCAGUUAAAGAGCUCGUAGUUGGACUUGUGUGCGCUGUCCGCGGGUGGCCUGCGCCCAAAAGGGCGUUUCGGUUCGGCCCCGGUGGCGCCUUGAAAUCUGCAGCUGGGGGGACGUUGGCCUUAACUGGUCGGCGACCGCACGCCGGCUGCUCGGUUACUGUGAGAAAAUUAGAGUGUUCAAGGCAGGCAUUGGGUGCAAUUGAAUACAUUAGCAUGGAAUAAUAAAAUAUGGCUCCUGCCGUAUUUUGUUGGUUUUGACUGGUGGGAGUAAUGAUUGAUAGGGACGGUUGGGGGUGCUAGUGUUGAGCGGCCAGAGGUGAAAUUCAUGGAUUCGCUCAAGACUAACUUAUGCGAAAGCAUUCACCAAGGACGUCCUCUUUAAUCAAGAACGAAAGUUGGGGGAUCGAAGACGAUCAGAUACCGUCGUAGUCUCAACCAUAAACUAUGUCGACUUGGGAUCGGCGGUAGUUUUUUCAUUAAGACACUGUCGGGACCACGGGAGAAAUCAAAGUGUCUGGACUCUGGGGGAAGUAUGGUCGCAAGGCUGAAACUUGAAGGAAUUGACGGAAGGGCACCACCAGGAGUGGAGCCU